GCCCGCACAAGCGGUGGAGCAUGUGGUUUAAUUCGAAGCAACGCGAAGAACCUUACCAGGUCUUGACAUCCUCUGACAAUCCUAGAGAUAGGACGUCCCCUUCGGGGGCAGAGUGACAGGUGGUGCAUGGUUGUCGUCAGCUCGUGUCGUGAGAUGUUGGGUUAAGUCCCGCAACAAGCGCUACCCUUGAUCUUAGUUGCCAGCAUUCAGUUGGGCACUCUAAGGUGACUGCCGGUGACAAACCGGAGGAAGGUGGGGAUGACGUCAUAUCAUCAUGCCCCUUAUGACCUGGGCUACACACGUGCUACAAUGGACAGAACAAAGGGCAGCGAAACCGCGAGGUUAAGCCAAUCCCACAAAUCUGUUCUCAGUUCGGAUCGCAGUCUGCAACUCGACUGCGUGAAGCUGGAAUCGCUAGUAAUCGCGGAUCAGCAUGCCGCGGUGCAUACGCUCCCGGGCCUUGUACACACCGCCCGUCACACCACGAGAGUUUGUAACACCCGAAGUCGGUGAGGUAACCUUUAGAGCCAGCCGCCGAA
Molecule: ribosomal RNA, 539 nt
Filed under: uncultured Bacillus sp.
Lineage: Bacteria; Bacillati; Bacillota; Bacilli; Caryophanales; Bacillaceae
Description: bacterial SSU rRNA
Rfam family: Bacterial small subunit ribosomal RNA
Source: RNAcentral